UGUAAGCGUAUACCAAAGUUGUUGCAGUUAAAACGCUCGUAGUCGGAAUUUGGCAGUUCCGGAUGUGUGCACGUCGUGUGCGCACUUCGCGGGGAUUGCUUUUGUGGUCUUGCGUAGGAUGAGGCACUUUUAUUAGUGAACGUCCUCACGCAACCACUUUUUACUGUGAGAAAAUCAGAGUGCUCAAAGCAGGCAUUUGCCGUGAAUGUAUUAGCAUGGAAUAAUAGAAUAGGACUUGGUUUUAUUUUGUUGGUUUGUUGGGACUGAGUAAUGAUUAAGAGGGACAGUUGGGGGCAUUUGUAUUUCGGUGCUAGAGGUGAAAUUCUUAGAUUACCGAAAGACAAACUGCUGCGAAAGCGUCUGCCAAGGAUGUUUUCAUUGA
This 382-nucleotide ribosomal RNA is filed under the name uncultured eukaryote. RNAcentral describes it as "partial 18S ribosomal RNA". It matches the Rfam family "Eukaryotic small subunit ribosomal RNA", at positions 592 to 976 of the family's 1831-position model. The record is from RNAcentral.